This 109-nucleotide non-coding RNA is filed under the name Nocardiopsis sp. Its description in RNAcentral is "TPP sequence". It matches the Rfam family "TPP riboswitch aptamer (THI element)". Rfam says of the family: Vitamin B(1) in its active form thiamin pyrophosphate (TPP) is an essential coenzyme that is synthesised by coupling of pyrimidine and thiazole moieties in bacteria. Lineage: Bacteria; Bacillati; Actinomycetota; Actinomycetes; Streptosporangiales; Nocardiopsidaceae. RNAcentral also lists the same sequence under 1 other name. The record is from RNAcentral.
CAUAACCGACAGGGGAGCGCAUGGGCGCUGAGAGUGCGGCACGGUCGCCGCAGACCCUUACACACCUGAUCUGGGUCAUGCCAGCGAAGGAAGUCGUAGGAACCGCCGC